GAAAGACGUUAGCUCAGUUUAGAGUUUAGUUUACUAAAGAAAGAGACCUGAAAACUGUUGGAUGUGGUUUUAAAAGCUGAAACAAAGCGACAAAGACACGCUUUGUUUUCUCUCUACGACCGGAAACACGUCACUGCUCCUGUUGACCGUGCUAAGCUAACGUUUACCGCAGUUAGCUUCUGCUCACACGGUUGAUUUCAGGUGUUUUGGGAGAACUUGAGGAUGAUGAGUUUUGACUUCAGUAGAGCGACCUGAGAGACUCUUCAACACUGAGACCAGCAGGAUGUCCGAUGCCAACACAGUUGACAGACAGUUGCCAGCUGAAUAUUUGGGUCCGGCCCUGAUGUCCCCCCUCUGGACCUGCACGCUGAGGCCUCCUGGAUUUCAGGGAUGUGUUCUUCAACACGUUCACUAUCAUCACGUAAAUCCUGCGAGGGCGGAGAGACGCUGAUAGACGGACCCGAGUCUGUUUCACUCAUUGCCAUGGAAACGUUUGAGCAAUACUACAGCGGUGUCCAGAGUGAUCAAACCUGAAUCAGCUCCAUGUUGUUUCAUUGAAGACUGCCUCCCUUCUCGAUGGGGCGAUGUUGAUUCAUUUUCAUUGUCAAAUCCGAGAGAGACUGAUGCCACGCUGAGGUCAAAACAGACUUCAGACACCAGCAGAGAGAAAACACCUGACUCAGGAUCUCAAGAAACGUACCCCACAGACAGAAAUGUGUUUUCCCAAAGUAAAAUGUGAUGUUCCAGAAGGGAACGCCAGCCGUGCAGAAAGGUUCAAGACUAAAGGCCGAUAACUCCGGAC
Molecule: non-coding RNA, 802 nt
Organism: Plectropomus leopardus (leopard coralgrouper)
Lineage: Eukaryota; Metazoa; Chordata; Actinopteri; Perciformes; Serranidae
Source: RefSeq, a predicted model, not a curated record